RNAcentral lists this ribosomal RNA (460 nucleotides) under uncultured bacterium. RNAcentral describes it as "partial 16S ribosomal RNA". It matches the Rfam family "Bacterial small subunit ribosomal RNA", at positions 338 to 795 of the family's 1533-position model. The record is from RNAcentral.
CCUACGGGUGGCAGCAGUGAGGAAUAUUGGUCAAUGGACGAGAGUCUGAACCAGCCAAGUAGCGUGAAGGAUGACUGCCCUAUGGGUUGUAAACUUCUUUUAUAAAGGAAUAAAACGAGGCACGUGUGCCUUUUUGCAUGUACUUUAUGAAUAAGGAUCGGCUAACUCCGUUCCAGCAGCCGCGGUAAUACGGAGGAUCCGACCGUUAUCCGAAUUUAUUGGGUUUAAAGGGAGCGUAGUUGGGUUGUUAAGUCAGUUGUGAAAGUUUGCGGCUCAACCGUAAAAUUGCAAUUUAUACUGGAAGUCUUGAGUACAGUUGAGGUAGGCGGAAUUCGUGGUGUAGCGGUGAAAUGCUUAGAUAUCACGAAGAACACCGAUUGCGAAGGCAGCUUACUAAACUGUGACUGACAUUGAUGCUCGAAAGUGUGGGUAUCAAACAGGAUUAGAUACCCUGGUAGUC